RNAcentral lists this unclassified non-coding RNA (329 nucleotides) under soil metagenome. RNAcentral describes it as "partial contains 5.8S ribosomal RNA, internal transcribed spacer 2, and large subunit ribosomal RNA". The stretch from base 1 to 120 matches the Rfam family "5.8S ribosomal RNA", at positions 35 to 154 of the family's 154-position model. The record is from RNAcentral.
GAUGAAGAACGUAGCGAAAUGCGAUAAGUAAUGUGAAUUGCAGAAUUCAGUGAAUCAUCGAAUCUUUGAACGCACAUUGCGCCCCUUGGUAUUCCGAGGGGCAUGCCUGUUCGAGCGUCAUUAUAACCCCUCAAGCUCAGCUUGGUGUUGGGGCCUGCUGCACUGGCAGCCCUUAAAAUCAGUGGCGGCGCCAUCUUGCUCUAAGCGUAGUAAUUCUUCUCGCUAUGGAGUCCUGGUGGAUGCUUGCCAUCAACCCCCAAUUUUUCUAUGGUUGACCUCGGAUCAGGUAGGGAUACCCGCUGAACUUAAGCAUAUCAAUAAGCGGAGGA